CGCGCAGGCGGCUCAUUUUGUCAGGCGUGAAAGCCCCGGGCUUAACCUGGGAACGGCGCUUGGGACGGGUGGGCUUGAGAUCGGGAGAGGAGAGUGGAAUUCCCAGUGUAGAGGUGAAAUUCGUAGAUAUUGGGAAGAACACCGGUGGCGAAGGCGGCUCUCUGGACCGAUACUGACGCUGAGGCGCGAAAGCGUGGGGAGCAAACAGGAUUAGAUACCCUGGUAGUCCACGCCGUAAACGAUGUGUGCUAGACGUUGGGGAGCCUAGCUCUUCGGUGUCGCAGCUAACGCGGUAAGCACACCGCCUGGGGAGUACGGCCGCAAGGUUAAA
RNAcentral lists this ribosomal RNA (331 nucleotides) under uncultured bacterium. RNAcentral's name for it is "bacterial SSU rRNA". It matches the Rfam family "Bacterial small subunit ribosomal RNA", at positions 568 to 898 of the family's 1533-position model. The record is from RNAcentral.